UGCAGGUGAAAAUACAUGCUGAUUCACAUCUGUGCUUCAAACCUUUUUAGGCCGUGUUGGAGGUUCUGCCACAUUUCAGGGUGGCCAAGGUUUGAACUCUGACUUCACCUGGUCUUCAAAUUGGUAAAUGUCAGGUAUUCUGGAUUACAUGAAGGGUAUGGGCUAUCAGGGCAGAGUGCACUUACAUUACGUAAAUUAUUGUAUUCUCUGCGGAAUGGUGAGUUUUAUGAAAAACAACAAACAAGAAGUUUGACACAUCAUAGUACCCCAUGUUUGUUUGGGCGGUUGGGGGAAGGAAGAAACUUCCAACACACGAUGUAGGUGUAUGUGAGAAGGUAUCGAUUUUGCCCUUAAUCAAUUCAAGAUGUAGGUGUAUGUGAGGAGGUAUAGAUUUGACCGUUUUUCAAUUCCAAAUGGCCAUGAGAAAAAUAAAAUAUCAACCCAGCCAAAUGUUCUGUAUGCAAAACAUUUUUUAUCAAAAAAAUAGUUUGUAAAGCAGAGCGUCAUUUCUUUUCGCUGCAGGUUUUUUCACGUUGGGCUUACUGUGAUGAAUUCACCUAUGAACCAGAAUUGAUCUAUAGGCAAGGUGAAUUAAUCCAACUCAUUCUCUGGAUGCAAUAAAUCAGAGUUUGGUGUGUUUUUCCUCCAAGGGUUUGCCCUUCCACGUGGGAAAAAAGGCACAUUUACCACACCUGUGCACUUCAAGAUACAGUAGAGUGAUACGGAUGAUUAACACGUCCGUUUACUAGUGAACUUGUACGUUAAAGGCACAGUCAAGACGAGUGUAUACCAUGACAAAACCUCAAGUUUCCGUUGUCAUGACGGAAGGCUGACUGUUAUCGGGAACCCUAUCCGUUUUAUUUCUCCAGCUGUAAUUCUAUCCAUUACUGACGUCAGUGGGGACUCCCAUUUCGCAUAGUUCACUGUUGUUGUUUCUGGAGUUCAGAAACGUUCAAACAAGAAUCAGCCGCCGCUUUGACUAGGCUACAAAGCCUACUCCAAUGUUCUGUCCAAAUGGAGCUGGAUCCUGAAUGUUGAGAUAUGAAUGUUUUUUUAAGACAGAUACAAGAGCGGUGUGACACUUUAUAGACCAAUGAAGUUGUCAAGGUGCGAUGGUCUGGUAACGUUGGUAAAUAUUUGAUAAAGUUUCGAUAAGAGUACUGUAGUACAUGCACUAUUCCGUCUCUAUAGAGGGUCUGGAAAAUAUAAUCAAAAUGCGCUCUGGAG
Molecule: long non-coding RNA, 1227 nt
Organism: Clupea harengus (Atlantic herring)
Lineage: Eukaryota; Metazoa; Chordata; Actinopteri; Clupeiformes; Clupeidae
Source: Ensembl